ACCAAACUCAAAGGGGUUUCCGUCACCCAGAUUGAGAAGCUGGGGAACCGGCUGUGGGACGUGGCCGACUUCGUGAAGCCGCCACAGGGCUGGGUCACGAAGGGGAGACACCUCCUGGGCCUGGAAAAUGCUGCUCUCUCACCACCUCAACACCCUCCAUCCCACUGUGAACCGCUGGGCUGACGAGGACUGUCCUGAAGAGAAGACGGGGACGCACAGCCACGGUAACUGUGGGCCUGUCUUCCAGCCCCUCCACUGGGAUGGGAGUUCAGGGGUCCGUGCUGGGACACUGGGUGGCCCCCCCGUGCAGGCCCCGUGGUGCCUUUGCAUGUCUUCUUUCUGCCAACAGUCCCCUGCUCACUCCCCUCCCCAGGCCCUGUGGAGACUCGAGGGCCUGGAGUUUGUCUUGUUUUCAAUGCAUAAAAACGGGCCAGUGUGUGGAGUUCAAUGGGACCCACAGGACCUGUGAGAUCCGGGGCUGGUGCCCCAUGGAGAGGGACACUGUUCCCGUGUAAGUGUCCUUGACACCCAGGGCAGGUCCCAGGACCAGCAGAGCCUGCCCCUGACCUCCCCCCCUGCAGGAACCCCCUGCUGCUCCAGGCUGAGAACCUCACGCUGUUCAUCAAAAACACUGUCGCCUUCAGCAAGUUCAACUUCUCCAGAUCCAAUCCCUUGGAGACGUAGGAUGCUGUCUAUUUCAAGUGCUGCCACUGUGACCCACGCUUCAGCCCCACUGCCCCAUGUUCCGCAUCAGGGACCUCGUGGCCAUGGCUGGAGGGGUCCGUGAGGACCCGGUGUUGGUGGCUCCUUGGGGGACAGAGUUCUGGGAGGGCUCGGGGAGAGGGUCCCUGCCUGCAUGCUGGUGGACCAGUGAUGUGCUGUGUGCAGG
Molecule: long non-coding RNA, 889 nt
Organism: Diceros bicornis minor
Lineage: Eukaryota; Metazoa; Chordata; Mammalia; Perissodactyla; Rhinocerotidae
Exons: 3
Source: RefSeq, a predicted model, not a curated record